GGGGCUAUAGCUCAGCGGUAGAGCGCCUCAAUGGCAUUGAGGAGGUCAGCGGUUCGAAUCCGCUUAGCUCCA
RNAcentral lists this transfer RNA (72 nucleotides) under Cyanobacteria bacterium QS_8_64_29. Its description in RNAcentral is "tRNA-Ala". It matches the Rfam family "tRNA". From Rfam's summary of the family: Transfer RNA (tRNA) molecules are approximately 80 nucleotides in length. Their secondary structure includes four short double-helical elements and three loops (D, anti-codon, and T loops). Lineage: Bacteria; Bacillati; Cyanobacteriota. The record is from RNAcentral.